This 253-nucleotide ribosomal RNA is filed under the name uncultured bacterium. RNAcentral's name for it is "partial 16S ribosomal RNA". It matches the Rfam family "Bacterial small subunit ribosomal RNA", at positions 524 to 776 of the family's 1533-position model. The record is from RNAcentral.
UACGGGGGGGGCAAGCGUUGUUCGGAAUUACUGGGCGUAAAGGGCUCGUAGGUGGCCAACUAAGUCAGACGUGAAAUCCCUCGGCUUAACCGGGGAACUGCAUCUGAUACUGGAUGGCUUGAGUUCGGGAGAGGGAUGCGGAAUUCCAGGUGUAGCGGUGAGAUGCGUAGAUAUCUGGAGGAACACCGGUGGCGAAGGCGGCAUCCUGGACCGACACUGACGCUGAGGAGCGAAAGCCAGGGGAGCAAACGGG